This is a transfer RNA of 84 nucleotides. It matches the Rfam family "tRNA". From Rfam's summary of the family: Transfer RNA (tRNA) molecules are approximately 80 nucleotides in length.
GCCGGGGUGGCCGAGCGGUUAAGGCGCAGGCCUGGAGAGCCUGUGGGGCUUUGCCCCGCGUGGGUUCGAAUCCCACCCCCGGCG